This 208-nucleotide long non-coding RNA is filed under the name Nicotiana benthamiana. Its description in RNAcentral is "long non-coding RNA (NBEN_LNC000266)". The record is from RNAcentral. Lineage: Eukaryota; Viridiplantae; Streptophyta; Magnoliopsida; Solanales; Solanaceae.
GGACAUCACCCACCUGGAUGUGGCAGACUUCUUUGAGCAACCCGAUGGGAAAAUAGACCACCCAAUCGGCGAUGGAUCCGUGAUGAAAGAAGAUGGAGUUAUUUGAUUUAGUUCUACUUAUUUGUAUUACUUAGUGAAUAAACUUAUAGUCAUUAGCAUUAGCUCGUAUUAGUUAGUUCAUAAAGCAAUGUUAGCAGUAGUUCUUUAG